RNAcentral lists this ribosomal RNA (482 nucleotides) under Bacillus sp. enrichment culture clone A5h. Its description in RNAcentral is "bacterial SSU rRNA". It matches the Rfam family "Bacterial small subunit ribosomal RNA", at positions 79 to 545 of the family's 1533-position model. The record is from RNAcentral. Lineage: Bacteria; Bacillati; Bacillota; Bacilli; Caryophanales; Bacillaceae.
CUUGCUUCUAUGCGUUACGGCGGACGGGUGAGUACACGUGGGCACCUGCCUGUAAGACUGGGAUAACUUCGGGAAACCGAAGCUAAUACCGGAUAGGAUCUUCUCCUUCAUGGGAGAUGAUUGAAAGAUGGUUUCGGCUAUCACUUACAGAUGGGCCCGCGGUGCAUUAGCUAGUUGGUGAGGUAACGGCUCACCAAGGCAACGAUGCAUAGCCGACCUGAGAGGGUGAUCGGCCACACUGGGACUGAGACACGGCCCAGACUCCUACGGGAGGCAGCAGUAGGGAAUCUUCCGCAAUGGACGAAAGUCUGACGGAGCAACGCCGCGUGAGUGAUGAAGGCUUUCGGGUCGUAAAACUCUGUUGUUAGGGAAGAACAAGUACGAGAGUAACUGCUNGUACCUUGACGGUACCUAACCAGAAAGCCACGGCUAACUACGUGCCAGCAGCCGCGGUAAUACGUANGUGGCAAGCGUUUCCGAAC